UAGUACAAAUCUAGAGCAUCAAGUAAACAGCUCUAAUGAUCUGCUAAAUUGGCCAACAAUAACUUCUUAUUUCGAACAACUAAAAUCAAGCGAUUCAAAUUUAAUCAAAAAUAAUUUGAUCUUUAAAUGCAUUUUGUGUGGUCCAAAAGAUAAACAAAUUUCUACUUCUAAAUCAUCAAAUUAAAAUCUUAGAACACAUAUUAAAAUUAAGCAUCCAAAUUAUUUGACAGAAUUUAACAAUUGUGUGUAAAAGAGACCAACAGAUUCUACAUCAAUAUCACUUAUACAACUGAAAUUAAGUGAAGUUGGUAAAUUUCAACCAACGAAAAAGUUAGAUCAAGCUGAGUUUAAUAAGGCAAAUUUAAAACUUAUAAUUAAUACAGUGUCACCUUUUACAUCCAAGUUACAUCAAAUAAAGUGCCUGUAUCGCGGAGAAACUUAAUAGUGAUGUUGAAUAUUUAUACAAUAAAAUGGUCAAUGAACUAGAUACAAUUAAAUACGGAUGUAUUACAGCAGACUGCUGGAGCAUAUUCCACAAAUCAUACAUAGGAUUUACUAUCCAUUGGAUUAAUCCUCAAACGUUGGAAAGAUGUUUGAAAGGAUUUGCAUGUAGAUAAAUGAGAGGAAGACAUACACAUAUGCCAAUAUUGCUGAAUCUAUAGACAAAGUACUCGACGAAUUUAAAAUUCAGAAUAAAACAACAUUAAUAGUCACUGACAAUGCAGCAA
Long non-coding RNA from Metopolophium dirhodum (rose-grain aphid), 728 nucleotides. RefSeq lists it as uncharacterized. The record is from RefSeq and is a predicted model, not a curated record. The transcript is spliced from 3 exons. Lineage: Eukaryota; Metazoa; Arthropoda; Insecta; Hemiptera; Aphididae.